GAAGGUAUAGCUCAGUGGUAGAGCAUGUGCUUAGCAUGCACAAGGUUGUGGGUUCAGUUCCCAGUACCUCUA
RNAcentral lists this transfer RNA (72 nucleotides) under Camelus bactrianus (Bactrian camel). It matches the Rfam family "tRNA". From Rfam's summary of the family: Transfer RNA (tRNA) molecules are approximately 80 nucleotides in length. Their secondary structure includes four short double-helical elements and three loops (D, anti-codon, and T loops). RNAcentral also lists the same sequence under 3 other names. Lineage: Eukaryota; Metazoa; Chordata; Mammalia; Artiodactyla; Camelidae. The record is from Rfam by way of RNAcentral.